GCAAAAAGUAACUGAAGUGGUUUAGACUGAGGGAGAUUUGCUACACUGGGCAAUGGAAGUCACAGAUAGAGAAGGUCACAAAGACCACUUCCUUGUCAACACAGGAAUGAUGUUGCUUGACUGGGCUGAAAGCUUAUGAGGAGCACCCAGGUUUGCGACAAGAGGAAGAUUUUGGCUCCUGAGUGCUAAAGAAACUGGACUGUCAUUCCACUUGUGCAGUUAUUUUUACUGGAAUUUGUGCUCUCCAACUAACCUCUCCAAUAUGCUCACCUGACUAAGCUACCACGUAUCAUACUGGCAUUGGACAGUCUUGGGAUAGUCAAGUCUGCUUCUGAGUUGGGAUUAAAUGCCAGAGCAGAAGUUGUGAAGAUACAAAAAGCCUGGCAUGAAAAGCACCUUGAGCAAUGACUAACAUGAAACAGGGCCAAACCAGCUCCUGGAUUCCCAGGACAGUAAGUUCAAAAGGAAAAGUUUAUAAUGACUUUCAUUAUAGUUUGACUCAAGGUAAAUACUUGAUUAAAGAAGACAUUACAUACUGUAA
Molecule: long non-coding RNA, 541 nt
Organism: Pseudopipra pipra
Lineage: Eukaryota; Metazoa; Chordata; Aves; Passeriformes; Pipridae
Exons: 2
Source: RefSeq, a predicted model, not a curated record